This 324-nucleotide ribosomal RNA is filed under the name Triticum aestivum (bread wheat). Its description in RNAcentral is "partial small subunit ribosomal RNA". Lineage: Eukaryota; Viridiplantae; Streptophyta; Magnoliopsida; Poales; Poaceae. The record is from RNAcentral.
AUGAUUUUUUUGUUUGCUGCAUUGAUCUUUUUUCUUCUUCUGAGGAACCAUUUUUCAUUUUUGCUGGAACUAUAUCAAUUUUUUGUUGGAACCAUGUGUGCUUUUUGCUGGAACCAUAUCAAUGUAUUUCGCUGGAAUCAUAGCAUUUUUGCUGCAACCACAUUAUUAUUUGCUGGAACCAUAUUAAUUAUUUGCUGGAACCAUGUGUUUUGCUUUCAAGCUGGCGUUGCUUUGUUUUUUCUGCUGCAACCGACGAGCAGCGAUGCCGACGGCGAGCGACGAGCGUUGGGGAACCAGCGGAGCUUCCAGGUCGGGCGGGCAUAA